GGGAUUGUAGCUCAGUGGUAGAGCACUUGCUUCGCAUGCGUGAGACUCUGGGUUCGGUCCCCAGCACCA
This is a non-coding RNA of Ictidomys tridecemlineatus (thirteen-lined ground squirrel), 69 nucleotides long. The record is from Rfam. Lineage: Eukaryota; Metazoa; Chordata; Mammalia; Rodentia; Sciuridae.